RNAcentral lists this ribosomal RNA (368 nucleotides) under uncultured organism. Its description in RNAcentral is "bacterial SSU rRNA". It matches the Rfam family "Bacterial small subunit ribosomal RNA", at positions 526 to 896 of the family's 1533-position model. The record is from RNAcentral.
CGUAGGUGCGAGCGUUAAUCGGAUACUGGGCGUAAAGCGUGCGCAGGCGGUUUGUAAGACAGAUGUGAAAUCCCCGGGCUCAACCUGGGACCUGCAUUUGUGACUGCAAGGCUAGAGUACGGUAGAGGGGGAUGGAAUUCCGCGUGUAGCAGUGAAAUGCGUAGAUAUGCGGAGGAACACCGAUGGCGAAGGCGGCGUUCUGGACUGCAACUGACACUGAUGAACGAAAGCCAGGGGAGCAAACGGGAUUAGAUACCCCGGUAGUCCUGGCCCUAAACGAUGAAUGCUUGGUGUGGCGGGUAUCGAUCCCUGCCGUGCCGUAGUUAACGCGUUAAGCAUUCCGCCUGGGGAGUACGGUCGCAAGGCUG